GGUAAGUGGCUGAACAUUAAGGCGGUGGGCUGUAAAUCUACUUAUAUUGGUUAAAUCCUUUCUUUACU
This 68-nucleotide transfer RNA is filed under the name Anolis cooki. RNAcentral describes it as "tRNA-Tyr". Lineage: Eukaryota; Metazoa; Chordata; Lepidosauria; Squamata; Anolidae. The record is from RNAcentral.